UGAGGGAUAUUGCACAAUGGGGGAAACCCUGAUGCAGCGACGCCGCGUGGGUGAAGAAGGGCUUCGGCUCGUAAAACCCUUUUCUGCGUGACGAGUAAAAGGACGGUAGCGCAGGAAUAAGUCUCGGCUAACUACGUGCCAGCAGCCGCGGUAAAACGUAGGAGACAAACGUUAUCCGGAGUUACUGGGCGUAAAGGGCGUGCAGGCGGUUAUUUAAGUCUGGUGUGAAAGCGGCCGGCUCAACCGGUCAAAUGCAUUGGAUACUGGAUGGCUAGAGGACAGAAGAGGCGUGUGGAAUUCCGGGUGUAGUGGUGAAAUGCGUAGAGAUCCGGAGGAACACCAGUGGCGAAGGCGACACGCUGGUCUGUACCUGACGCUAAGACGCGACAGCAUGGGGAGC
RNAcentral lists this ribosomal RNA (400 nucleotides) under uncultured bacterium. RNAcentral's name for it is "bacterial SSU rRNA". It matches the Rfam family "Bacterial small subunit ribosomal RNA", at positions 355 to 769 of the family's 1533-position model. The record is from RNAcentral.